CACAGCAGGGAAUAUUGUGCAAUGAGCGAAAGCUUGACACAGCGACACCGCGUGUGGGAUGACGGUUCUAGGAUUGUAAACCACUUUCAGGAGGGAAGAAAAUGACGGUACCUCCACAAGAAGACCCGGCCAACUAUGUGCCAGCAGCCGCGGUAAUACAUAGGGGUCAAGCGUUGUCCGGAUUUAUUGGGCGUAAAGAGCUCGUAGGCGGUUCAACAAGUCGGUCGUAAAAGUUUAGGGCUCAACCCUAAAAUGUCGAUCGAUACUGUUGUGACUAGGAUACGGUAGAGGUGAAUGGAAUUCCGAGUGUAGCGGUGAAAUGCGUAGAUAUUCGGAGGAACACCAAUUGCGAAGGCAGUUCACUGGACCGUGAUCGACGCUGAGGAGCGAAAGCUAGGGGAGCAAACAGGAUUAGAUACCCUGGUAGUCCUAGCUGUAAACGAUGGAUACUAGAUGUAGGAACUGGAUUGACGGUUUCUGUAUCGUAGCUAACGCGUUAAGUAUCCCGCCUGGGGAGUACGGUCGCAAGACUAAAACUC
RNAcentral lists this ribosomal RNA (539 nucleotides) under uncultured Actinomycetes bacterium. RNAcentral's name for it is "bacterial SSU rRNA". It matches the Rfam family "Bacterial small subunit ribosomal RNA", at positions 350 to 902 of the family's 1533-position model. Lineage: Bacteria; Bacillati; Actinomycetota; Actinomycetes. The record is from RNAcentral.